This 253-nucleotide ribosomal RNA is filed under the name uncultured bacterium. Its description in RNAcentral is "partial 16S ribosomal RNA". It matches the Rfam family "Bacterial small subunit ribosomal RNA", at positions 524 to 776 of the family's 1533-position model. The record is from RNAcentral.
UACGGAGGGUGCAAGCGUUGUCCGGAUUUAUUGGGUUUAAAGGGUGCGUAGGCGGCCUCUUAAGUCAGUGGUGAAAGCCCGCGGCUCAACCGCGGAACUGCCAUUGAUACUGGGAGGCUUGAGUACAGACGAGGUAGGCGGAAUUGAAGAUGUAGCGGUGAAAUGCUUAGAUAUCUUCAAGAACACCGAUUGCGUAGGCAGCUUACUAGGCUGGUACUGACACUGAGGCACGAAAGCGUGGGGAGCGAACAGG